This 271-nucleotide ribosomal RNA is filed under the name uncultured bacterium. RNAcentral describes it as "partial 16S ribosomal RNA". It matches the Rfam family "Bacterial small subunit ribosomal RNA", at positions 524 to 794 of the family's 1533-position model. The record is from RNAcentral.
UACGUAGGGUGCGAGCGUUAAUCGGAAUUACUGGGCGUAAAGCGCGUGUAGGCGGUCUAGCAAGUCGGAUGUGAAAGCCCUUGGCUCAACUGAGGAAGUGCAUUCGAAACUGCAAGACUUGAGUCCCGGAGAGGAUGGUGGAAUUCUCGGUGUGGAGGUGAAAUUCGUAGAUAUCGGGAGGAACACCGGUGGCGAAGGCGGCCAUCUGGACGGUGACUGACGCUGAGACGCGAAAGCAUGGGGAGCAAACAGGAUUAGAAACCCGGGUAGU